GACGAACGCUGGCGGCGUGCCUAAUACAUGCAAGUAGAACGCUGAAGAGAGGAGCUUGCUCUUCUUGGAUGAGUUGCGAACGGGUGAGUAACGCGUAGGUAACCUGCCUUGUAGCGGGGGAUAACUAUUGGAAACGAUAGCUAAUACCGCAUAACAAUGUAUGACACAUGUCAUUUAUUUGAAAGGGGCAAUUGUUCCACUACAAGAUGGACCUGCGUUGUAUUAGCUAGUAGGUGAGGUAAUGGCUCACCUAGGCGACGAUACAUAGCCGACCUGAGAGGGUGAUCGGCCACACUGGGACUGAGACACGGCCCAGACUCCUACGGGAGGCAGCAGUAGGGAAUCUUCGGCAAUGGGGGCAACCCUGACCGAGCAACGCCGCGUGAGUGAAGAAGGUUUUCGGAUCGUAAAGCUCUGUUGUAAGUCAAGAACGGGUGUGAGAGUGGAAAGUUCACACUGUGACGGUAGCUUACCAGAAAGGGACGGCUAACUACGUG
RNAcentral lists this ribosomal RNA (497 nucleotides) under uncultured bacterium. RNAcentral describes it as "partial 16S ribosomal RNA". It matches the Rfam family "Bacterial small subunit ribosomal RNA", at positions 28 to 507 of the family's 1533-position model. The record is from RNAcentral.